This 94-nucleotide transfer RNA is filed under the name Candidatus Ryanbacteria bacterium RIFCSPHIGHO2_01_FULL_45_22. Its description in RNAcentral is "tRNA-Ser". It matches the Rfam family "tRNA". Rfam says of the family: Transfer RNA (tRNA) molecules are approximately 80 nucleotides in length. Lineage: Bacteria; Candidatus Ryaniibacteriota. The record is from RNAcentral.
GGAGAGGUGGCUGAGCGGCUGAAAGCGGCGGAUUGCUAAUCCGCUAUACGGGUUAAAAUCCGUAUCGAGGGUUCGAAUCCCUCCCUCUCCGCAA